This 1327-nucleotide ribosomal RNA is filed under the name Escherichia coli. Its description in RNAcentral is "partial 23S ribosomal RNA". It matches the Rfam family "Bacterial large subunit ribosomal RNA", at positions 591 to 1937 of the family's 2925-position model. The record is from RNAcentral. Lineage: Bacteria; Pseudomonadati; Pseudomonadota; Gammaproteobacteria; Enterobacterales; Enterobacteriaceae.
GGGUGAUGGCGUGCCUUUUGUAGAAUGAACCGGCGAGUUACGAUCUGAUGCAAGGUUAAGCAGCGAAUGUGGAGCCGUAGCGAAAGCGAGUCUGAAUAGGGUGUUGAGUAUUUGGUCGUAGACCCGAAACCAGGUGAUCUACCCUUGGUCAGGUUGAAGUUCAGGUAACACUGAAUGGAGGACCGAACCGACUUACGUUGAAAAGUGAGCGGAUGAACUGAGGGUAGCGGAGAAAUUCCAAUCGAACUUGGAGAUAGCUGGUUCUCUCCGAAAUAGCUUUAGGGCUAGCCUCAAGGUGAGAGAUACGGAGGUAGAGCACUGAAUGUCCUAGGGGGUAUUGCACCUACCGAAGACUAUCAAACUCCGAAUGCCGUCAUCUUAUACUUGGGAGUCAGACUGUGGGUGAUAAGAUUCAUAGUCGAAAGGGCAACAGCCCAGAUCGUCAGCUAAGGUCCCUAAAUGUAAGUUAAGUGGUAAAGGAUGUGGGAUUGCACAGACAACCAGGAUGUUGGCUUAGAAGCAGCCACUCAUUCAAAGAGUGCGUAAUAGCUCACUGGUCGAGUGAUCCUGCGCCGAAGAUUUCCGGGGCUAAAACUUACUACCGAAGCUACGGCAUCAGUAAUGAUGGGUAGGGGAGCUUCCCAUACGGGUUGAAGCAUGACCGUAAGGACAUGUGGACAGUAUGGGAGUGAGAAUGUUGGCAUGAGUAGCGAGAUGUGGGUGAGAAUCCCACAGGCCGUAAACCCAAGGUUUCCAGGGGAAGGUUCGUCCGCCCUGGGUUAGUCGGGACCUAAGCUGAGGCCGAAAGGCGUAGGUGAUGGACAACAGGUUGAUAUUCCUGUACUACCGAUAACCGUUUGAGAGAAGGGAUGACACAGUAGGAUAAGCUAAGCACACUGUUGGUUAUGUGUGCCCAAGCAUUGAGGCAGUCAAAGUAGGCAAAUCCGCUUUGAUAAUGCUGGGAUGUGAUGGGGAGCGAAAUUUAGUAGCGAAGUAGCUGAUUUCACACUGUCAAGAAAAGUCUCUAUCGAGGUUAAAGGUACCCGUACCGCAAACCGACACAGGUGGGUGAGGAGAGUAUCCUAAGGCCAGCGAGAGAACUGUUGUUAAGGAACUCGGCAAAAUGACCCCGUAACUUAGGGAUAAGGGGUGCCACCAUCAGGUGGCCGCAGAGAAUAGGCCCAAGCGACUGUUUACCAAAAACAUAGGUUUCUGCUAAGUCGCAAGACGAUGUAUAGGAGCUGACGCCUGCCCGGUGCUGGAAGGUUAAGGGGAUCUGUUAGAGCAAUCGAAGCAGUGAACUUAAGCCCCAGUAAACGGCGGCCGU